RNAcentral lists this ribosomal RNA (869 nucleotides) under uncultured bacterium. RNAcentral describes it as "bacterial SSU rRNA". It matches the Rfam family "Bacterial small subunit ribosomal RNA", at positions 565 to 1434 of the family's 1533-position model. The record is from RNAcentral.
GCGCACGCAGGCGGUCUGUUAAGUCAGAUGUGAAAUCCCCGAGCUUAACUUGGGAACAGCAUUUGAAACUGGCAGGCUAGAGUCUCGUAGAGGGGGGUAGAAUUCCAGGUGUAGCGGUGAAAUGCGUAGAGAUCUGGAGGAAUACCGGUGGCGAAGGCGGCCCCCUGGACGAAGACUGACGCUCAGGUGCGAAAGCGUGGGGAGCAAACAGGAUUAGAUACCCUGGUAGUCCACGCUGUAAACGAUGUCGACUUGGAGGUUGUGGUCUUGAACCGUGGCUUCCGGAGCUAACGCGUUAAGUCGACCGCCUGGGGAGUACGGCCGCAAGGUUAAAACUCAAAUGAAUUGACGGGGGCCCGCACAAGCGGUGGAGCAUGUGGUUUAAUUCGAUGCAACGCGAAGAACCUUACCUACUCUUGACAUCCUCAGAAGAGACUGGAGACAGUCUUGUGCCUUCGGGAACUGAGAGACAGGUGCUGCAUGGCUGUCGUCAGCUCGUGUUGUGAAAUGUUGGGUUAAGUCCCGCAACGAGCGCAACCCUUAUCCUUUGUUGCCAGCGAUUUGGUCGGGAACUCAAAGGAGACUGCCGGUGAUAAACCGGAGGAAGGUGGGGAUGACGUCAAGUCAUCAUGGCCCUUACGAGUAGGGCUACACACGUGCUACAAUGGCGCAUAUAAAGAGAAGCGAGCCUGCGAGGGUGAGCGGACCUCAUAAAGUGCGUCGUAGUCCGGAUUGGAGUCUGCAACUCGACUCCAUGAAGUCGGAAUCGCUAGUAAUCGUAGAUCAGAAUGCUACGGUGGAUACGUUCCCGGGCCUUGUACACACCGCCCGUCACACCAUGGGAGUGGGUUGCAAAAGAAGUAGGUAGC